RNAcentral lists this small nuclear RNA (103 nucleotides) under Chinchilla lanigera (long-tailed chinchilla). The record is from RNAcentral. Lineage: Eukaryota; Metazoa; Chordata; Mammalia; Rodentia; Chinchillidae.
GCUCCCUUCAGCGGCACAUACUGAAACUUGAGUGAUACAGAAAGGAUUAGCGUGGCCCCUGCACAAGGAUGACACGCAAAUCCGUGAGGCGUUCCAUAUUUUU